Molecule: long non-coding RNA, 1492 nt
Organism: Pangasianodon hypophthalmus (striped catfish)
Lineage: Eukaryota; Metazoa; Chordata; Actinopteri; Siluriformes; Pangasiidae
Exons: 3
Source: RefSeq, a predicted model, not a curated record
UGCUGUUCAUUAAUAAAUAAAAUCAGUGUGAGAAGAGUAACUCUGCCCUGGACUGUUUCCCUGAAACACCUCACCGAGCUGUGCUUUGAAAUAUAUAUGAAAUAUAAUUCCUAGUUUCACUGAUUCUGUGGAGUUCUCGAGUUAUAUCCAAUAGGAUGCGUCUAUUUUGAUCACGUGACUGAAGAACCGCUAAUUGGCGGUCUAAUUAAACGCGUCGCUUAAUUGACGAUAGUGGUUUGUAACAGUCGAGCAGCUUAGCAAACGUAUCGAAAUGUAUACUUUUUUUUAAAAAAAAAAUUUAAAAGUGGAGCUCAAAAGCGAAGAGAGAGGAAAGAGAAAGAAUUUGACAAGGCAAAGCUUCUGUAAUUAGGUAAUUUCUUCCUGUACCUUGCUCCACACUUGACGCUGAACUUGCUGCGGAAUUAAUUGCCUUUAUUUGUGGAAAGGAAAUGGCGUCGAAUGACCAACAAAUGACUGUGACUCUCCAAAAAAUUACACAAGGCCUUCCCUCUGGACUCGGCUCAAGUCAAACUACAGCACCCCAAUUACUCUGCACAGAGAUGCGACUGCUGUGAUUUUUGUUAUGUACAACCAUGUGUAAAGAAACUUUUUGUGUAAACAUUUUUCCUUUAAUCAGACUUCAUACUGCUUCUUUAAAAUCUCUAUUUGGUAAUCAUAUUGUAGAAAUUUAACAAGAAUAAUACAAGAACAAUAUUUUCUUGAGGGUACCACCCUACACACUCAGAAAAAAGUAUUCUUUGUCGCUAGGAUGGUACCAUUAUGUUUUGUACCUUUACUGAGUAUCUUUCUCGUGAAAAAGUGGAUAGUGUACCUCUAACACCCAUAUGUGGGCUUUCCUCAAAGUUUUACUACAAGUUGGAAGCAGACAAUUGUACAGAAUGUCUAUGUACGCUGCAGCAUUAAGAUUUCCUUUCAAUGAAACCAAGAGUCCCAAACCUGUUCCAGCAUGACGGUGCCCCUGUGCACAAAGUGAACUCCAUGGUGUGUUAAGGUUAGAGUGGAAGAACUCGAGUGUCCUGCACAGAGCCCUGACCUCAACCGUACUGAACAGUUUGGGAUGAACUGGAACACCGACUGCACCCCAGACCUCCUCGACAUCCCAACAUCGGUGCCUCACCUCACUAAUGCUCUUGCUAAUGCUCUUGUAGCUGAAUGAACACAAAUCCCCACAGCAACACUCAAAUCUAGUGGAAAGCCUUCACAGAAGAGUGGUGGUUAUUAUAACAGCAAAGACUAAAUCUGGAAAGGGAUGUUUUUUAAAAAAAAAAAAAAAAAAAAAAAGUACAUAUGGGUCUGAUGGUCAGGUGUCUACAAACUUAGUACCCUCUAGUGUAUUAUACUGGACCAUAAUUACUUUCUGAGAUAAAGCUUUAAAGGUACACUACAUGAACAUUUCAUGGUAAAAUAUAGAUGCUAAAGAUACAAAAGAUGUAUGCUUCAGGGUACCAUCCCAGGGACAAGGAAUGGUACA